UUUUUGUCGACUUAUGCCUACUGAAAAAGGAUAAGCUUUUUUUUUUUGGUAGCUCUAAAUCGCCACACUUCUGCUCAAUAUGAAUGACCAGUCGUCCAAAAUUAGAGCGGUAUAACAAAUGCAAUGCAGCUGUGUAGCAACUUUUUGUGCCACCUUACUGCUCUUGAUUUAGCGGCAAUGAAAUCUCCCGCUUUCAGGUAAACUUCCAUAUAUGCAUGUCUAUUUAUUAAGGUAGCUUUACUUUACUUUGAUGUCACAAUUGUUUCAGUAGUCGUACUUUUGAGUUAUGUUUUGCGUAUUUCAUGCAGUAAGUACUGCCAACAUUUUCCACCUUCUCAAUGGGACUAAUAUUUAUUUUUUUACCUUAGGUAUGCUAUUACUCUUUUUGGGAACGCAAAAGCUUGGCUAGACUUUAA
RNAcentral lists this long non-coding RNA (416 nucleotides) under Capsicum annuum. RNAcentral's name for it is "long non-coding RNA (CANN_LNC009873)". The record is from RNAcentral. Lineage: Eukaryota; Viridiplantae; Streptophyta; Magnoliopsida; Solanales; Solanaceae.